RNAcentral lists this ribosomal RNA (446 nucleotides) under uncultured bacterium. Its description in RNAcentral is "partial 16S ribosomal RNA". It matches the Rfam family "Bacterial small subunit ribosomal RNA", at positions 338 to 795 of the family's 1533-position model. The record is from RNAcentral.
CCUACGGGCGGCAGCAGUCGAGAAUCAUUCACAAUGGGGGAAACCCUGAUGGUGCGACGCCGCGUGGGGGAAUGAAGGUCUUCGGAUUGUAAACCCCUGUCAUGUGGGAGCAAAUUAAAAAGAUAGUACCACAAGAGGAAGAGACGGCUAACUCUGUGCCAGCAGCCGCGGUAAUACAGAGGUCUCAAGCGUUGUUCGGAAUCACUGGGCGUAAAGCGUGCGGAGGCUGUUUCGUAAGUCGUGUGUGAAAGGCGCGGGCUCAACCCGCGGACGGCACAUGAUACUGCGAGACUAGAGUACUGGAGGGGGAAGCGGAAUUCUCGGUGUAGCAGUGAAAUGCGUAGAUAUCGAGAGGAACACUCGUGGCGAAGGCGGGUUCCUGGACAUUAACUGACGCUGAGGCACGAAGGCCAGGGGAGCGAAAGGGAUUAGAUACCCUGGUAGUC